CGUAGGGUGCGAGCGUUAAUCGGAAUUACUGGGCGUAAAGCGUGCGCAGGCGGUUUUGUAAGACAGGCGUGAAAUCCCCGGGCUCAACCUGGGAACUGCGCUUGUGACUGCAAGGCUAGAGUACGGCAGAGGGGGGUGGAAUUCCACGUGUAGCAGUGAAAUGCGUAGAGAUGUGGAGGAACACCAAUGGCGAAGGCAGCCCCCUGGGUCGAUACUGACGCUCAUGCACGAAAGCGUGGGUAGCAAACAGGAUUAGAUACCCUGGCAGUCCACGCCCUAAACGAUGUCAACUAGGUGUUGGGUGGGUAAAACCAUUUAGUACCGGAGCUAACGCGUGAAGUUGACCGCCUGGGGAGUACGGCCGCAAGGUUA
Molecule: ribosomal RNA, 372 nt
Filed under: uncultured organism
Description: bacterial SSU rRNA
Rfam family: Bacterial small subunit ribosomal RNA
Source: RNAcentral